GAUCAGCUCUGGAGGAAGAAUCCAUGCUGUUCAUUACAGCCUUGUGUCUAUCCAUGGGGAGCUGGAGCUUGAAACAGGAGUCCAAUCAACGAACACAACUCUGGGAUAAUCAAACUGCCUUUGAAGCAAAGCAAGUUGAGCUUCUUUCCCCUUCCACCCUCAUAUGGAAGGUCUCAUGGUUCCUCUCUGGCUUUUUUGUUUGUUUUUGUUGUUGGGGGAGGAUGGGGAAGGAGGGAUGGUCAGGAAAGCAAUUAUUGGGUUUGGAAUUAACCAAGAAGGAAGGGUUUGGACAGAAUAUAUGGUAGGAAAAGGGGGUUUUGUCAAUAGGUGCUUUACUACAACCAUCCCAUUAGGCCAAAGCCGCCCGACUUGGGCCCUCCAACUGUUGUUGGACUACAACUUCCAUAAUCCCUGAUUGUGGCUGGCAAUGAUGGGAGUUGUAGUCCAACCUCAGCUGGAGGGCCAGCAUUGUGCAGCCGUGCAUUAAGUCAACAAACUGAAAGGGAAAUGAUUUUAUUGGAAGCUGAAGACAUUUGUCCAACUUUGGGUUGUCCUUAACUGCACCUAUGCCUGUCUUUUAAUCCCCCCCCAUUGUUUUUAAAUGUAAGGGAAAGAGGGGCUGUGGCUCAGUAGUAGAGCAUGCCCUUUUCAUGCAAAAGGUCCCAAGUUCAAUCCCCAGCUUUGCCAAUUAAAAGAACCUCAGGUAGUAGAGCUCAGGAAGGUCUCUUGUUGCCCGAGAUCUUGGAGAGCCAAUGCCAGUCAUCAUCGGGAAUACUGGGCUAGAAUGUCUGCCUUGGCACAAGGCAGCUUUAUAUGUUGAGGUUUGUUUGUCUGUGUGUAUGUGUUACUUUUCUGGCAACCUCAACUGCCUACAUGAUUAGGAAAGUCUUUACAUCUAGGAACUACUUAGACAGAUGAGAAUAAAAAAAUCUCCUGCCAUGUUAUGGGAGCGAUUCAGAAUGAAUGGAGAGGAAAUCGAGCGGAGGGAGGAAUAAUCAGUUGUGUGAGAUCUGCAGCACAUGAACAACAAAAGACAAAUUAAUUUCUCCUUAACCACAAGCGAGGGAGGAAAAAACACCAAAGGCCAACAGAACUGUUGGGAAGUGGAACUUUGCUGAAAGAGGAGCAUCUUGAUCUGCAAUAAGUGGACUUAGUCAUAGUGCCAACAUACAACCUUGUUCAACCAGCAACAUUAACUAUUCGUGGUGACCGAAAAGGUGCUGUAGAUGGGAUAGGCUGUGGCUGGAUAGAAAACCAGCGAUUUCCUCAAAACCAACAGAAACUUCCAUAACCCUGUUGCCAAGCCAGUGUCUAUGAACUGUUAGCAUCAGAAAUGUACAAGUUGAAUACAAACAGUUGUCUGUCCAGAAGCUUUUACCUGCUCAUAAUGAAAAACUUACUUAAAUGAGUGAACACCUUAUGAACGAAUGUUAGA
Molecule: long non-coding RNA, 1435 nt
Organism: Hemicordylus capensis (graceful crag lizard)
Lineage: Eukaryota; Metazoa; Chordata; Lepidosauria; Squamata; Cordylidae
Exons: 3
Source: RefSeq, a predicted model, not a curated record